Molecule: small RNA, 107 nt
Filed under: Marmota monax (woodchuck)
Lineage: Eukaryota; Metazoa; Chordata; Mammalia; Rodentia; Sciuridae
Source: RNAcentral
GCCAGGCAUGGUGGUGCACACCUGUAAUCUCAGCAACUCAGGAGACUGAGGCAGGAGGAUCACAAGUUUGAGGUCAGUCUCAGCAACUUAGUGAGACCCUGUCUCAA